This 1521-nucleotide long non-coding RNA is filed under the name Capra hircus (goat). RNAcentral describes it as "lncRNA (ENSCHIG00000005243.1)". Lineage: Eukaryota; Metazoa; Chordata; Mammalia; Artiodactyla; Bovidae. The record is from RNAcentral.
GGGCCAGAGGUGGAGUGGGAGUUGGAGGCAUUCCCACAUUCGGGGUUGGCCCUGGGGGCUUUCCUGGCUACGGAGACGCAGCAGCUCAGGCAGCUGCCGCCGCCAAGGCAGCCAAGAUCGGUGCUGGGGGAGUAGGAGCCCUGGGAGGGCUGGUGCCAGGUGCCCCAGGAGCAAUACCAGGCGUGCCGGGUGUUGGAGGUGUGCCAGGUGUUGGAGGGGUGCCAGGUGAGCUGUGUCCCAGCCCAGACAUAGGUUUGGUUUAUCUCAUGGAAGGGUCCCAUUUUACAGAUGGCAAGACUGAGCCCAGAGACAGGGGUAGAGAAAAAGGGAUUUCCCAUACUUUGAAGGGAAGUGUCUCCAUGGGAUUCCAGAUCGCUGAGUGAACCCAGAAAGUCUCCUCCCUGCCCUCAGGGAUGCUCAGGAUGUCAGCCUGAGAGGCAGCAGAACUCUGCUUGGCUGGGGUUUGGGGAGACCUCAUUCAUCCCCCGCCCCACCGGGCCUUUCUGCUUUCUGAUCGGGUGGGAGGGCCUGUGUUAGUCUCUGUUUACCCGGCACUCUUUCUCCAAAGGGAGGAAAUGAGAUUAAUUUACAAUCCUCCUUGUCGGUUUGUGGGUUUUUUUCCCACCAGAAGAGGUCUCUUCUGCAUUUCUUCUUCUUUCUGGGCGGAGGGUGGUGGGGGGGGUUCCCCUUUUGCAUUUCUCCCCCAAGAAAUAAGCCGUUUCCUCCAAUAGCCACAGAGUCAGAGCUGCUUCUCAGGGAGAGGACAUGCCCAGAGCGGCUGGCGGGCCAUCUCAGUGCGGGCCUGAGAGAGGGGGCAGUUCCCGAGAUAUGGACUCUGUGAAGUCUUUCUACCAUGGGGGAUGGAAGAGAGAGGGGAGGGGUGCUGGGGACCCCUCCCCAUCCUUAAUCUUCGCCUUUCCAGGGGUCGGGGCUCCAGCAGCUGCAGCCGCCAAAGCAGCCGCCAAAGCCGCCCAGUUUGGAUUAGGCCCUGGCGUCGGCGUGGCUCCCGGUGUCGGCGUGGCUCCCGGCGUCGGCGUGGUUCCCGGUGUCGGUGUGGCUCCCGGCGUUGGCGUGGCUCCUGGCAUCGGCCUUGGCCCCGGUGGUGUCAUAGCCCCAGCUGCAGCUAAGUCCGCUGCUAAGGCCGCCGCCAAAGCCCAGUUCCGGGCUGCUGCUGGCCUUCCCGCUGGCGUUCCUGGCCUUGGAGUGGGCGCGGGAGUUCCUGGCCUUGGAGUGGGUGUUGGUGUUCCCGGCCUUGGAGUCGGGGCCGGAGUUCCUGGACUUGGGGCAGGGGCAGUACCUGGAACCCUGGCCGCAGCUAAAGCAGCCAAGUUCGCACCAGGAGGGGUCGGGGCCCUUGGAGGGGUUGGAGAUCUUGGUGGAGCCGGCAUUCCAGGUGGUGUGGCAGGAGUCGGACCUGCUGCCGCAGCUGCUGCCGCCAAAGCUGCCGCCAAAGCCGCCCAAUUUGGUGAGCACGGGUGUGAGGUGGGGGCUGCCGUGGGAGUUGGGGGUGUGUGUGUCUGA